Molecule: microRNA precursor, 207 nt
Filed under: Oryza glumipatula
Lineage: Eukaryota; Viridiplantae; Streptophyta; Magnoliopsida; Poales; Poaceae
Description: MIR812 microRNA precursor family
Rfam family: MIR812 microRNA precursor family
Source: Rfam by way of RNAcentral
AAAAAGACAAACCUUGGGUUUUCGUGUCCAACGUUUGACCGUCCGUCUUAUUUGAAAAAUUUAUGAAAAAAAUUAAAAAGACAAGUCACGCAUAAAGUAUUAAUCAUGUUUUAUCAUCUAACAACAAUGAAAAUACUAAUUAUAAAAAAAUUUUAUAUAAGACGGACAGUCAAACGUUGGACACGGAAACCCAGGGUUUGUCUUUUU